Molecule: ribosomal RNA, 245 nt
Filed under: uncultured bacterium
Lineage: Bacteria
Description: partial 16S ribosomal RNA
Rfam family: Bacterial small subunit ribosomal RNA
Source: RNAcentral
AUCCUGGCUCAGGAUGAACGCUAGCGGCAGGCUUAACACAUGCAAGUCGAGGGGCAGCGGGGAGUAGCAAUACUCCGCCGGCGACCGGCGCACGGGUGCGUAACGCGUAUGCAACCUACCUUUAACAGGGGGAUAACACUGAGAAAUUGGUACUAAUACCCCAUAAUAUCAUAGAAGGCAUCUUUUAUGGUUGAAAAUUCCGAUGGUUAGAGAUGGGCAUGCGUUGUAUUAGCUAGUUGGUGGGG